This 69-nucleotide transfer RNA is filed under the name Diphylla ecaudata (Hairy-legged vampire bat). RNAcentral describes it as "tRNA-Ala". It matches the Rfam family "tRNA". From Rfam's summary of the family: Transfer RNA (tRNA) molecules are approximately 80 nucleotides in length. The record is from RNAcentral. Lineage: Eukaryota; Metazoa; Chordata; Mammalia; Chiroptera; Phyllostomidae.
AGGGGCUUAGCUUAAUAAUAAAGUGACUGAUUUGCGUUCAGUGGAUGUGGGGUAGGCCUGCAGUCCCUG